RNAcentral lists this ribosomal RNA (376 nucleotides) under uncultured bacterium. Its description in RNAcentral is "bacterial SSU rRNA". It matches the Rfam family "Bacterial small subunit ribosomal RNA", at positions 524 to 898 of the family's 1533-position model. The record is from RNAcentral.
UACGUACGAGGCGAGCGUUAUCCGGAAUUACUGGGCGUAAAGCGCGCGCAGGUGGCCUGCUAAGUCAGAUGUGAAAUCUCCCGGCCCAACUGGGAGCGGCCAUUUGAUACUGGUGAGCUUGAGGGCAGCAGAGGUCGGUGGAAUUCCUGGUGUAGUGGUGAAAUGCGUAGAGAUCAGGAGGAACACCGGUGGCGAAGGCGGCCGACUGGGCUGCCUCUGACGCUGAGGCGCGAAAGCUCGGGGAGCGAACGGGAUUAGAUACCCCGGUAGUCCGAGCCGUAAACGAUGGGUACUAGGUGUUCGUGGUAUCGACCCCACGGGUGCCGCAGCUAACGCGAUAAGUACCCCGCCUGGGGAGUACGGCCGCAAGGUUAAA